GAAUCCUGAGAAAGACGCGCUCAAAGAACCCAGCGAACAAAGGAGAGGGUUGGAGCCCACGCAAAACAUGGGUGUGAUAAAGCCACACGCGACCUGAGCCCCCACCCUCAGUAACUACUCUCCAGCGCCCACCGGGAGGAGGGGUCCGGGGAAAGGAUUGGCAUCCUCUGCUUCUGCAGAAAACAUGGCUACCAACAGCUUCUGUAUCCACCUGCGGAGGAGACUGACUGCUCUGUUAUUCCCCCAGCAUCUGUGAAGAGGCUCUGACUGGCUAAAGUGUUGGAAGGAGUCUGUAGCUUUAGGGGAAGACAGAGCCACAAGAUGGAAGGAGCUUGGAUGUCUGAACUAUUCCAUGGAGAAAAGCUGCAGCCAACGAAGAACACCUGCA
RNAcentral lists this long non-coding RNA (388 nucleotides) under Homo sapiens (human). Its description in RNAcentral is "non-protein coding HDAC2-AS2:77". Lineage: Eukaryota; Metazoa; Chordata; Mammalia; Primates; Hominidae. The record is from RNAcentral.